GCAAACAGACAUUGAGGCUGAACUUAUUUCGUUUAAGAAGGGAAAAUACAGAGGAAAACACCAUCCUAGAACAAGUGUAUUUUCAAUCAUUACUUCCAGAACGGUUGAAACCAGUAUUGAAGGUUUUGGAAGAAGUUGAGAGGAUGUGACCACUGCUUGAACUGCAAGUUGGACCCGGGCAUGUAGAAGUUCUUCACCUCCUCCUUUGUCCUUGGAGUGUACAUUUUGCCCACUGUUCCUGCAGGAGGAGCCAUUUUCAAGGUCACAGCCUUGAGAGAAUAAGGUGCUGGGACCAUCUGGACUGAAUACGUGACUGAGCCCAGGUAUAAAGGACACUUUCUCAUAAUAGCAGAAUACUUUUUGACCUGUAUAUGCACCGCUUUUUGUACUCACUUUCAAGUCAAGACCGCUAAAGGAGACAUUGCAAAGGGUUGUGUGGAGGCCAAGAUGUGAUGCUGAAUAGGUGACCUGUUUUCUAUAACGAGCUGGCAUGGGAUUAUGGACAGAGCACAGGCUUGCAGACUGAUAUAGCUCCAAUGUUCUGGUUUAAUUAACCUCUUGGAGUCUGCAUCCCUCAUUUGUUAAACCACAGACAUUGAUAUUUAUCUCAAAGGAUGUUGAAAGGAUUCGGAGUAUUAGUAUUUGAGAAAACACCUGGUAUCAUCAGUGCAUUGUAAAGACAAUACUCAAUACUUACUAACCUUCACUCUUUUGCAUUAUCUAGAAAACUUCUCAACUUUUCUUAGCCUCUUGGCCACCAAGCUUAAAAAAGAUCUGGCUCUGCGGAUACAUAUGAAAACAGUUGAUAAUGGGUAAUGUGCUAAACAAGGGAUCAGAUCCGAACGUCGGGGAGUAUCAGAGGUUAAGAGCACAGUCUGGAGUGAUAGACCAGCCCUCGAACUUCAGCCCCAUCACAAGCUAACAAGGGAGUCUGCGGCAGGUUGCUUAACUUCUUUAGGUUUUCUCACCUGUAAACAUGAGGUGAUAACAGCACCUAACUCAGACUCCUUAUUGGCAACUAAUGGAGAUAUGGCCAGUACAGAGCUUGGUGCAGUGGCUGCCCUGGGGCAAGUGCUUUUUUAAGUUAUAAUUAAUACUUUUAUAGAUAUUUCCAUUUUUAAUAAUCAGAUCAUUGGCUAUGUAACUAACUCAUCACCCCCAAACAUGCUAGAAAUGACGAUAAUAAAGAUUGCAAUUGAAUCCUUGCAUUAAAAAUUCUACUUUCCUACUUCUUGUUAAUAUUUUUCUUUGGUAAUUCAACACAUUAACUAUAUGAGCACUGACUGCAGCGGGAGAAGUCGUGACAUACUUCUGUGGGAUGAUAAUGAACGUUAGUACAGCUGAGGAAGCCGCGUUUUCUGCGGUCAUCUCCAUUCACCUAUACAGUCAUCCCUCAGUAACCGCAAGGGAUCGAUUCCAGGACCUCCACAGGUAUCAGAUAUCAAAUUCUACAAAUGCUCAAGUUCUUUAUAUAAAACGGCAUAGUACAAUUGGUCCUCCAUAUCUGUGGGUUCUCACUGAUGGAGCGGCUGGUUGAAUCUGCAGAUCUGGAACCCCCGGCUACGGAGGUUCGACUGCAUUCUUAUCGUGUGCAUCGUAGUGAAGGAACAGUUUACUUCUUUGACUUAGAAACAUCGUAACCUACAAAUACAUUGAGGACUUCGAAUAGAGGCCAAUGAGCUUCAGAUAUGUGCCAAUGAAUACAAAUACCUGCUAAUGCAUCAUAAAUAAUCACCUUCCUUAAUUCAAAGUUUACAAAACAAAUACAGUUGACCCUUAAACAACAUGGUUUGAACUACGUGAGUCCACUCACACGCAGGUUUUUUUCAAUAAGUAUGCAUGCAGCACUGCACAGUCUGUGUUUGGUCGAAUCCGUGGAUGUGGAUAUGGAGGGCCGACUGUAAAGUUACGUGUGGGUUUUUCAACUGGCAGGGUCACCGCCCCUAACCGCCUCGUUGUCCAAGGCUCAACUGUAUAUAUGUUUCUCAAUGCGUAUGUCAUUCCAAUAUCACCACUGGUCUAAACGUAUUUAGAUUUUUUUGAAUAUUAAAGAUUCACACGACAUUUUGGGCUAUACGUUUCCACAACUUCUCAAACUGACACCUAGCUUUAUCUGGUUUCUCCAAUUUUGUUUCAGUUAGAAUAUAAAAUAGUUUUUAUAAAACUGUAUGGGAUCUGAUUAUGAAAAAAAUUAGAUGGGGAGGAAGGGCAUGUUAAAUACAACAAUGAUGGUUUUCAUGACUUGCCUAUAAAAAUAAGGCUAAGUAGGAAGCGUGAAACUGAGCCAGAAGAUCCCUGACUUUGAUGGUGGACAUGAGUCAUAAAGCCAGGUCUGGUCCCUUCUCCAGGGCCCUCUAACGAGUGAGCUCACUGUCUCAGAAUUCAGUCUGGUCAUUUGGUUCAAAUAUCUUAUUUGCAAAAUCCACUGAAACUCUUUAGGAAAUAAAUACAUAUUUAAAAGAAUAAGGGACCAAUUACGUUUCCAAAAUAUUGUAAACGAAGUCCUUUUCCCUUUUGUUUAGGUAUUUUAAGCUUAACGUCUAAAGAUCUGUUUCUGUUGUUCAUACAGUGAGUUUUCCACUGCAUUUUGAAAGUUAAGAUAGUGAUGGGAAAUAGACCGCGGUUCAUAAGCUCUGGGUUUGAACAAACUUUUGCAAGGUUAUAUUGACAAAUUUUUUUAAGCAAAGAGUAAUUCUUUAGUUAUUGUUAGAAAAUAUCAAAUGUUAAAGAUGGAAUAUUUUUAAUUGAAGGAAAACCAUACUGUAAAUUAUUGUAUGUUAUAAAUUGUGAGAAUCAGUGUAUGCUUUACAAAAAGAAAAUGGAGCCUGUUGAUUAUAAGUGUAGUCCUGUAUAUACACUAUAUUUAUAUGUCUCUCUUUCUGCACCCCUUAUUUUGAAUAAACAGUUGUAUUAUAUUUCAACAGCUGAAUAGAUUUCUCUUGCAAUUUUAAACAAUUCAUCCAUUUCAGAAUAA
This is a long non-coding RNA of Delphinapterus leucas (beluga whale), 2974 nucleotides long. RefSeq lists it as uncharacterized. The record is from RefSeq and is a predicted model, not a curated record. NCBI's taxonomy places the organism in Eukaryota, Metazoa, Chordata, Mammalia, Artiodactyla, Monodontidae.